AAAAAAAAAAAAAAAAAAAAAAAGAUAAUACCAACCUACAUAUUCAUUUCAUUGUUAAUUUUUAUAUUUGCAUGUAUUUUCUAUAUCACAGACGUAAACCAUAAGUGAAUUCUGUUACAGAUUCAAUUCAAGUUACUGACAUUUCACCGGUUGUAGAAAACGCAGAGCCUCUCCCCAAGAACUCUUCAGAAUAUGUUACAGACAUUUCACCGAGUGUAGCAAACGUAAUGCUUCUUCCCAGAAACUCUUCAGAAAACGUUUCCGAUAUCCCACUGGAUGCAGUAAAGGCAGAGCAUGGCCCCAACGACUGUACUGAUACCUGCUUCAAACCCAUGUGCCUCAAAUCAGUUGCCGACAUCUUGUUCAAUUUAAACAGUAGCGUGGAACCUUGUGACGACUUCUAUCAAUUUGCCUGUGGUGGUUGGUUAAAAAGGCAUGCCAUAAGUGAUGGCAGUUCAUACAUUUCCUCUUCUUCGAAAUUCAAGAUGACUUCAAUAUCCGACUCAAACUUCUCUUAGAAAAGGAACUGACGGGAGAGGAACCUGAUUUUAUUCACAUGGUAAAAGAAAUGUAUGACUCUUGCAUGGAUCUAGAAAGCAUUGAAAAAGAGAGUAGCAAGCCUCUGGAGAAAGUUUUAAAAUCCCUUGGAGGCUGGCCUGUUUUAGAAGGACAAAACUGGAAUCCAGAAUCCUUCGACUGGUUGGAUACACUCAGACGGAUACGCAAGAUGGGUUUCAAUCACAAUACACUGCUGUCGGUGAAAUCUAAGGAAGAUUACGGUUCUGCUCCUUUUAAACGUA
Long non-coding RNA from Stegodyphus dumicola, 800 nucleotides. Lineage: Eukaryota; Metazoa; Arthropoda; Arachnida; Araneae; Eresidae. The record is from RefSeq and is a predicted model, not a curated record.